Molecule: ribosomal RNA, 511 nt
Filed under: beta proteobacterium FSW05-134
Lineage: Bacteria; Pseudomonadati; Pseudomonadota; Betaproteobacteria
Description: bacterial SSU rRNA
Rfam family: Bacterial small subunit ribosomal RNA
Source: RNAcentral
GCGUUAAUCGGAAUUACUGGGCGUAAAGCGUGCGCAGGCGGUUUGUUAAGACCGAUGUGAAAUCCCCGGGCUCAACCUGGGAACUGCAUUGGUGACUGGCAAGCUAGAGUAUGGCAGAGGGGGGUAGAAUUCCACGUGUAGCAGUGAAAUGCGUAGAGAUGUGGAGGAAUACCGAUGGCGAAGGCAGCCCCCUGGGCCAAUACUGACGCUCAUGCACGAAAGCGUGGGGAGCAAACAGGAUUAGAUACCCUGGUAGUCCACGCCCUAAACGAUGUCAACUAGUUGUUGGGGAUUCAUUUCCUUAGUAACGAAGCUAACGCGUGAAGUUGACCGCCUGGGGAGUACGGUCGCAAGAUUAAAACUCAAAGGAAUUGACGGGGACCCGCACAAGCGGUGGAUGAUGUGGAUUAAUUCGAUGCAACGCGAAAAACCUUACCUACCCUUGACAUGGUCGGAAUCCUAGAGAGAUCUGGGAGUGCUCGAAAGAGAACCGAUACACAGGUGCUGCAUG